GGUAGUCCACGCCGUAAACGAUGUCGACUUGGAGGCUGUUCCCUUGAGGAGUGGCUUCCGGAGCUAACGCGUUAAGUCGACCGCCUGGGGAGUACGGCCGCAAGGUUAAAACUCAAAUGAAUUGACGGGGGCCCGCACAAGCGGUGGAGCAUGUGGUUUAAUUCGAUGCAACGCGAAGAACCUUACCUACUCUUGACAUCCAGAGAAUUUAGCAGAGAUGCUUUAGUGCCUUCGGGAACUCUGAGACAGGUGCUGCAUGGCUGUCGUCAGCUCGUGUUGUGAAAUGUUGGGUUAAGUCCCGCAACGAGCGCAACCCUUAUCCUUUGUUGCCAGCACGUAAUGGUGGGAACUCAAAGGAGACUGCCGGUGAUAAACCGGAGGAAGGUGGGGAUGACGUCAAGUCAUCAUGGCCCUUACGAGUAGGGCUACACACGUGCUACAAUGGCGCAUACAAAGAGAAGCGACCUCGCGAGAGCAAGCGGACCUCAUAAAGUGCGUCGUAGUCCGGAUUGGAGUCUGCAACUCGACUCCAUGAAGUCGGAAUCGCUAGUAAUCGUAAAUCAGAAUGUUACGGUGAAUACGUUCCCGGGCCUUGUACACACCGCCCGUCACACCAUGGGAAUUUGUUGCACCAGAAGUAGGUAGUCUAACCGCAAGGAGGACGCUUACCACGGUGUGGCCGAUGACUGGGGUGAAGUCGUAACAAGGUAGCCGUAGGGGAACCUGC
Molecule: ribosomal RNA, 727 nt
Filed under: uncultured bacterium
Lineage: Bacteria
Description: bacterial SSU rRNA
Rfam family: Bacterial small subunit ribosomal RNA
Source: RNAcentral